This is a long non-coding RNA of Mangifera indica (mango), 1439 nucleotides long. RefSeq lists it as uncharacterized. Lineage: Eukaryota; Viridiplantae; Streptophyta; Magnoliopsida; Sapindales; Anacardiaceae. The transcript is spliced from 2 exons. The record is from RefSeq and is a predicted model, not a curated record.
AAUGGAACCUUUUCUUAUCAUUUCAUCAACUUAGUUUCCGGUGAAUGAUUCACAAGCUUCUGUAAUUUUCUUUUGCCGAAGAGGAUCUUUUCAUGCAAUCAGUUCAACCAUUUUUGUCAUCCAGCUAAUGUGCUUAAUUUUCUGUAAUAAUUUGAUUACUAUUAAGUAUGAGACCAUGAUAGUUUAUUAAUGUUUAUGCUCGUAAUCUGAUAUGCUCUGUGUUUGCCAUUCACUUUUUUGCGUUUAGUUAUGUUGAGAUAUGUUGAGAUAUUGUUGAAAUAUUGUAUAGAUAGUGAAUCAUAGAUACUCAUAUAGAAUAGAAAUGCUAUAAUAUCCUUCCUAAACUUAGAUAGGAGUAGUUAAUAGUCUUCCUAAAUUAGCUAUCCUAAUAUCCUAUAUAAUUAUAAUUCUAUUGAACAUGAAAAAAAAACAGAAAAUUAUAUUCUUUCAUGGUAUCAGAGCCUAGCUUUUAAAAUUUCUGUUCCGGCGAAUCGAACCCCCUUUCUCCACUGUUUCUCUGAUCACUGUGCUUCCGUCAUUUUUCCGGUGAUCGUGCCUAUACCAGUGUGAUCAAGAUUCUCUCGCCGACACAUCCGUCAAAGCAACCCUUUCCGGCUGUUUCUCCGAUCACCGUGAUUUCAUCAUUUUCCGGUGAUUGUGCUCACACUGGAGGGAUCGGAAUAGUCUCGCCGUCAAUCCCGUCAAAGUCCCGUUGUCGUUCGCUGCUGAACGCGCCCACACGCGCCGCUUGUCUCCUCGGCAUCUCCGUCGUCGAUCUCCUGUUCCGGCGAACGUGAAACGACACCACCCUCUCAAUCGGACUCAGACGAUACCGGCGAUUCCAUCCGUGGAAACUCCGCGGCCAUCCGACGCCGGAAUAGCUCGCACGCGCUGGCCGUUGUUCGUGCUCCGACUGUGAUCUCCAAUCUGCUUCUCCGGAGAGCGUGCUGCCUCACCGUCGGCACUGUCAGUUACAGAAAGCUCCGGUGAUCCUCCUCCGGCCAUCCACGCGCCGUUCUGUCACUAUUCGCUUCUGUUAUCACCGGAAAUCAAUUUCUGCAGAUCUUUCUCUUCUCUUCAGACUGUGCUGAUUACGAAGAAUAUCUCAAGUAUCAGACAUCGAAACAGUCCUCAUCCAAUAUUGCUUCUAGUGCACAUCCAGGUCACCCAACCAUAUGCUUUACUCAGUCCUCUUCUUAUGGACCGUGGGUUCUCAAUUCUGAUGCUUCUGACCACAUCUCUGGACCGCAGUACGAGACGGACGAUUGGUACAGGACGUGAGUCACAGGGUCUCUAUUUGUAACAAGCUUGGUGCAUAUGAUUUAUAUGCUCCAGCUUGAGGGGGAGUGUUGAGAUAUGUUGAGAUAUUGUUGAGAUAUUGUUGAAAUAUUGUAUAGAUAGUGAAUCAUAGAUACUCAUAUAGAAUAGGAAUGCUAUAA